GACGUCUGCUGAGUCAUUCGGUUUUUCAUUGCGGCGAACAAACAAAAUUCCUUUCACCUCUGGUGCAUUCGCUGGACGUGUGCGCUCCAGAUAUCUCGGCGCUGGCCGAUAGACAUCACAUUUCAUGGAGCUGCAUGGUCACGCGGCUUCAGGGCUAAAGCGGGAUAAUGAUUUCGGAUCUCGUCAUAAACGGACGCGGCCGCUGUGAACUUCAUCUGCAGCGUUUAUCAGCUGAUGCCGGUCAAAUAACAGACGGGUUGUUUUUGUAUCAGCUGUUGUUUCAUGUUAUGGUCCCACCCCUGGUAUCUGUGGUAACGUGACAUGAUAAUAGUUUCCAUCCUGGCUGUAGUAGACGUACACAUCACUGAAGCUGGCGUACUGUUUUGGAACAUGUGGUCUUAUUUGUUUGUUCCCAGCAUGCCUUGUGGUGAGACGCCAUCUUAGCUUCUCUGUUUCUUUCCUCCAGUCACGUCUUUGUUGUGCAUUUUCUGUGUGGGGUUUAUGUUUGGAGGAGCUUGUAGCUGAGCUUUUGUGCUUCUCUGGAUGACUUGAUACUGAUGCUCUGGAAUCCACCACCCUCCUGAUUUCCACAAUCAACCAGAAUCCAGAUAAUCUCCCCCAUGUGAGUCAUUUUGCUCUGAACAUCUCAUAGUGUAACAUUCUUUGGGCUGCAUUUAUCAUACAUGGGUUUUGUCCCUGAGACAUAUAAAUUUGUUCAUGCUAUGCUUUUUUAUGUUGACAUUCUGUUCUAGACGUAUAACCAAUGCAUUUGUAAUGCACAAACUGGAGAGACACCUGUUUCUGCAACAGGUUAUCGGAGCAGACAGAAGGCAGGGAGGAGCCCCGUCAUUACCUGACACAAUGCCAUUGUCCUCUUAAUGAAGCCAUUGUAUGAGGAGAUCCCAGUGUUUGGGAUUACCCCGCCAGAGCAAACACAACGUGUGUGCGUGUGUCUCAUUCAGCGAUGGGCUCUGCUGCACAACAAUUAAUGACUAUUGACUCUAAACUCAUUUUGUGACUAAAUACGCAAUAAAGAAUUUUUAUAUCUAAUUUAGACAAUUGGAUUGUAAUUAACAUGGAUGUCAUCUUAAAAUUAAGUGAAAAGGUCUUAUCAGUAGUAAAAGGUUGUAAAGCUAAUAUUAUAGUGUAAUAAACAUAUUUUUACCUGCAGCUGUAGCAUGGACAUAUAGUUACUUUGGUUAUAAUAUUUCAGCAUUUUUUCUUAUUUGCUUUGUGUUGCAGACUCACAACAAACAGUGCCGGAUACUGCAGAUAAAAUCCUCACAAGCCGGACUUCGCAUGAACGGCUCAGCUACCAGUUGAAAACUGGUUUGAUGCAGAUGUUUGCAUGAUACGACGCGCGCCCUUUGUUUAUGAAAGCCUGCAGGCGCACUUGUAUGGAAAUCAAAAAAUUACAUUUCAAGUUUCCGUUUAACCGCCAGUCUUGUUGUGCGUGCGUGCGUGUGUCCUGCGGAUGAUCACUACUAUCCUCCCUUGUCUAAUUUGUUUUACAGAGCACCUGGGCCUUUGCUGAGCUCUCUCCAUGUAUGUGUUUUAUUUAAAUGGACCUGCUUUACUGCUAGAUAAACACAGGUGGGGUCCUUUUCUUCUGACAGGACACAGUCAGCGAUAGCGAUACAGACAAGAGACAGUCAAAAGACUGGGUAAAUAAAAUCCUGAGGUUGAAGAGGAAAAAAGCAAAGAGACAAAUAGCUAAUUUAUGAGAAAAAAAAGGUUUUAUCAUUUUCCUCUGAUCAUGAAUGUGUUGGUAACAACUCGUUGGAAAGUCAGUGAAAUGACUACAAAGAGACUCAGAACUAGACACAAAACCUCAAACAAAGGCAGACACAAAACGACCAGAGCUGCUACACGGCCACAAAGAAAUGCAAAAUGAUCCACACCUAGUGCAGGGACACAACAUGACACGACAAACCACAAGGAAGCAGAAGGUUACUGGAGACACACAAACCUACACAAAGAGACACACAGCAACCUCAGAGAUGCACGUGAAGAACUAUGAAGAAGCACAAGAGCCAGAGCUUUGUGAAAAUAAGUAGUUUUGGUGACUGCACUCAUAAAAUGUCCCGAAGCAUGAAUAAAGUGCUGGGAUGACUCUGAAAUGAUCAGGUUAACUGCUGAGUGUAGGACCAACCAUUAUAGAUCUCUCGGAGAGUCUCAGGACGUGACCCGGUGCCUGAGGGUCCUGGUCCACGCUCCCCUAGGCCUCAGAAGGUCUCAGACUGCGUGGGUGUAGCAUUCCUGAAGCCCUGGAGGUUUCUGCCCUGAAGCCAUAAAUCUACAGGACCCUCAGAAGUUCCAGAUACUCCACUGAGAAGCACUGGACCAGACUUCAGGCUUCAGACAACAGGCCUCCCUCCUGAAUUCAAACGGGUUCAUGUUGCUAUUUUAGAUCAAACCACACCAACACAGACAGCACGCGGAUGCCCACAACCCGCCUCGGCCAACCAGAAACCAUGUUUUGCGUGUCUUCCUGCCUUUGCUCCAUGACCUCGCCUCGCUAGAAUGUCUGCCGCGCGUCUGUUUGACAGCCGAAACCGUGCGAGCGCUGCCGUUCGAGCCGCCGCAAGCAGGUACGGGCAAGACUGGAAAGUCAGGGGCUGAGAGCCGCCGAAUACCUUGAUCUGUUUGUGUGUGUUUGUGUCCCAGCGAGAGGCGAAGGACGUAUCCCACAUACCAGGAGUUUUUUUCAGCAGAGCAGCGCAGCUUGUUAGGACUUGGCCGAGAUUCGUUUACCUGCACAGGGGCUGAAGCCUCCAGUUCAGACAGAGGCAGAGGUGUUGGGAGAUGUGCUGUCCUCCAGCGGGACGACAGAGGAGCAAAAGGAGGGAGGGCCCGAUGGAUCAGCUGGGAGGGCGACUGUCGCUGAUGGAAGUUCUGGAAUCAAUUACAAACAGUUCUUUUAAAUAUGUCAUUUUUAUAUCUUUCUUAAUUUUUGUAUUUCUUUUUCUUUUUCAUCAGGAGGAUAAAAAAACCACCUUCCUCUGAUUUAUGCCGAUUCUAACGUCAUCCUCAGUAUAUGUCUUCAACAGUGUUGUCAUGGCGAUAGCUCGGUGAUCAAUAAAAAUUCACCAUUACAUUUA
Betta splendens (Siamese fighting fish) is the source of this 3101-nucleotide long non-coding RNA. RefSeq lists it as uncharacterized. Lineage: Eukaryota; Metazoa; Chordata; Actinopteri; Anabantiformes; Osphronemidae. The transcript is spliced from 2 exons. The record is from RefSeq and is a predicted model, not a curated record.